Molecule: long non-coding RNA, 488 nt
Organism: Penaeus indicus
Lineage: Eukaryota; Metazoa; Arthropoda; Malacostraca; Decapoda; Penaeidae
Exons: 2
Source: RefSeq, a predicted model, not a curated record
AUCCAGAUCACCCUCAGCCGUAGAGAUUGCACCACCUCCCCAGCCAACAUGAAGCUGAUUUCCUUGUUGAUGGCCAUGGUUGUGGCCCUGUCCUGCUUCAUGGGAUCUGCUCUCGCCAUGCCCGAGCCCUAUGCCCUCCCUGACGCUGACGCCGUGGCAGAGGCCGAACCGUGGCGCUAUAGGCCCCAUGGGCACAUCUAUACCCACUACCAUAGGCCCUACGGACUCCACAGUCAUGUCUACUGGCACUAAGCAGUCACAGAAGGCAGUGUAGAAGACACAUUACCGCCAAUUAAGAUUUCUUUCUCUCUCUCGCCCUCUGCUUAUGUCUGUCAAAGUACCGAUAUCAAUGUGGAUACCUUUGUAAACUGAAUUUUCUACUUUUGUUCGUCAUGAUUUCUUCAAGAUAUUAACUAAACACUCAAAAUGUAUCUUGAGAAAGAAAUGGAGUUGCUACUUCUUUCCAAAUUAAAAGAUGUGCAAAAACA